GAUGAAGAACGUAGCGAAAUGCGAUAAGUAAUGUGAAUUGCAGAAUUCAGUGAAUCAUCGAAUCUUUGAACGCACAUUGCGCCCCCUGGUAUUCCGGGGGGCAUGCCUGUCCGAGCGUCAUUACAACCCUCAAGCUCAGCUUGGUGUUGGGCCCCGCCGCCCCGGCGGGCCCUAAAGUCAGUGGCGGUGCCGUCCGGCUCCGAGCGUAGUAAUUCUUCUCGCUCUGGAGGUCCGGUCGUGUGCUCGCCAGCAACCCCCAAUUUUUUUCAGGUUGACCUCGGAUCAGGUAGGGAUACCCGCUGAGCUUAAGCAUAUCAAUAAGCGGAGGA
This 329-nucleotide unclassified non-coding RNA is filed under the name soil metagenome. Its description in RNAcentral is "partial contains 5.8S ribosomal RNA, internal transcribed spacer 2, and large subunit ribosomal RNA". The stretch from base 1 to 120 matches the Rfam family "5.8S ribosomal RNA", at positions 35 to 154 of the family's 154-position model. The record is from RNAcentral.